UUGACGUCUCUGUGACUUCCAGACCUGACAUUUUAGCUUCUCUUAUUUUCUGUCUGCAGCGUGCCUCACAACAUCAGACUGAGGGAAAAUGAGAGGCUUCCACCAGGAACAGGCUGCUUGAAUAAUAGUCUGGAAUUUUCAGGGGAACCCAAAAGGUAUGGUUGAACUGCUCAACAAUCCCCACCUUUGCCUCAUCAUUGGUGACAAAAGGGAUGGUCUUGGACUUUGGAUUCCAGUAGAACUGUACUGGGAAUCAGAAGACAUGGCUUUUAACUCUGGCUCUGCCAUUAAACGUGUGACUUCACCUGUCAGUCUCAGUUUGAUCACCUCUAAAGCAAGAGGAUUGGUUUAUAUGAUUCAUAAGGCUCUUUCUAGCUCUAAAAUUCUUUGGCAAUGAUUAAUUAAGUUAGAGAAUCCAAUCAAC
RNAcentral lists this long non-coding RNA (424 nucleotides) under Phascolarctos cinereus (koala). RNAcentral's name for it is "lncRNA (ENSPCIG00000024684.2)". The record is from RNAcentral. Lineage: Eukaryota; Metazoa; Chordata; Mammalia; Diprotodontia; Phascolarctidae.